AUGUGCCUGGCUCCCUGUAUGCCAUUCGUAGAGCCCAUCGGCACAUCGAUGGUCUUCGUGGAUGGCGUGCGAGGAGCCAUGCAUAU
Nelumbo nucifera (sacred lotus) is the source of this 86-nucleotide non-coding RNA. The record is from Rfam. Lineage: Eukaryota; Viridiplantae; Streptophyta; Magnoliopsida; Proteales; Nelumbonaceae.